This is a non-coding RNA of Salmo salar (Atlantic salmon), 1429 nucleotides long. Lineage: Eukaryota; Metazoa; Chordata; Actinopteri; Salmoniformes; Salmonidae. The record is from RefSeq and is a predicted model, not a curated record.
UUUUUCAACUCCAACGCAACGAUAGCACAAUAGCCCAGCCAGCAGACUCUCCCCACACACUGAAGUCAUGAGGACUGAUGGAAGAAGCUACAGAGGGACGUCGGACUAACCCCAAAAUAAGACCUCAACAAUGUCUGCAGGGUCAGACAGCCCGUUGGAGUUCCAUGCAGAUCUGCUACAAUCCCCACCUGCCUCCUUACCACAGAUCACACUACUACCAGACAUCCCUUAAAGGAAGUCAGAGAGCACAAACCUGCCUCGAAGCCGGCCAUGCCUCAGCUAGCAGGCACUACCAAAGUGGUGUCCAUGUCCAUGAGGCCACAGUCUCCUUCAAAGCCCAGGACCAGAGAGGCCAGCAACAGGGACCAGAAUGUGUAUAUACAAGAGCAAGAAGGAGUCAGAGCAGGUGUCUAUCUUGGAGAAGGAAGCGGCUGAGUGGCGCAUCCGGAGAUCCAACUUCCUCAGCAGAUGUCAGGCUCUGAGCUUGGACAGCACGGAUGAGAGCAGGAACAGUGAGGACUCGGUCUCCGACCAAUCCCACGGGAACGCCCCUGCGGAAGAUAAAAAAAAAAAGAAAAUGAGGAAACCGAAAGAUAGGUCUACACCUACACCAAGGACUUCCACUGACGACAGCAUCUGUACUGUCAAGUUUACCACAGAGCAGCUUCAUGAGGCCCGGGGGAUCAUAGGGGCUGAGGGCCAGGAGGACCAGCAGAAGACCCUGAAGAGUCAGUGGCCACGGCUAUGGGGCUUGGCAGAGGGAGGAUGGUGGAGGAGAUUAUUGCCUCCCUACAGAGAGGAGGCAGUGAUAUGUCGUCUGCCUCAGACCAGAUGAUCAAGGGGCUGAUGGGGAGAGUGAUGGGGGACCAUAGAAUGAAUUCAUUCUAUUUCUAUGUGGGGGACAGCUACAAUGCAGACAAUGAGGAAGCGAAAACAGCGCAAUCAAAAUCGUAGGAUUCAGAACAGGAGAUAGAAGAUAAUAUUAGCCCUGUACAAACAGGUCAUGGAGAGACUACAGGCAGUGUAUUUAGAUUUAUCGCAUUUGACUUGCCUUGGCUUGUGACAUUGAAAAAUAGCUUCUCAGAGCAUUUGAGAACAUUUUAAGCGUUGAGCUUUCUGUUAAGGUUGUAUAAUGUUUGUAUGAUAGUUAACAGACAUCUUAUGCUGAUUUUCCAGAGUACUCCUCAGAUGUCCCCGGUUCCACAGAGGAUGUUGUGGGUUAAGAGGGAGACACCAACCCCUUCAAGACCUGUUGAGUUCCCUAAAGUCACAUCAGGUCUACAAGAUGGCUGGCUCACUGUCUGAGAGAAUCAGGGGUCUACAAGAUGGCCGACUCACUGAGAGAAUCAGGGGUCUACAAGAUGGCCGACUCACUGUCUGAGAGUGACAGACCGACAACAACAACUGCUCUAUUGCCUCUGCUCUCCCA